UACGGGGGGGGCAAGCGUUGUUCGGAAUUACUGGGCGUAAAGGGCUCGUAGGCGGCCAACUAAGUCAGACGUGAAAUCCCUCGGCUUAACCGGGGAACUGCGUCUGAUACUGGGUGGCUUGAAUCCGGGAGAGGGAUGCGGAAUUCCAGGUGUAGCGGUGAAAUGCGUAGAUAUCUGGAGGAACACCGGUGGCGAAGGCGGCAUCCUGGACCGGCAUUGACGCUGAGGCGCGAAAGCCAGGGGAGCAAAGCGGG
RNAcentral lists this ribosomal RNA (254 nucleotides) under uncultured bacterium. Its description in RNAcentral is "partial 16S ribosomal RNA". It matches the Rfam family "Bacterial small subunit ribosomal RNA", at positions 524 to 777 of the family's 1533-position model. The record is from RNAcentral.